This 426-nucleotide ribosomal RNA is filed under the name uncultured bacterium. RNAcentral's name for it is "partial 16S ribosomal RNA". It matches the Rfam family "Bacterial small subunit ribosomal RNA", at positions 354 to 796 of the family's 1533-position model. The record is from RNAcentral.
GUGAGGAAUUUUCCGCAAUGGGCGAAAGCCUGACGGAGCAAUGCCGCGUGAAGGAUGAAGGCCUAUGGGUUGUAAACUUCUUUUCUUAGUGAAGAAUAUUGACGGUAUCUGAGGAAUAAGCAUCGGCUAACUCUGUGCCAGCAGCCGCGGUAAGACAGAGGAUGCAAGCGUUAUCCGGAAUGAUGGGGCUUAAAGCGUCUGUAGGUGGCUUCAAAAGUCUCCUGUCAAAGAUCAGGGCUUAACCCUGGGCAGGCAGGAAAAACUCUGAGGCUGGAGUUUGGGAGGAGCAGAGGGAAUUCCCGGUGGAGCGGCGAAAUGCGUAGAGAUCGAGAGGAACACCAAAGGCGAAAGCACUCUGCUGGGCCACAACUGACACUGAGAGACGAAAGCGAGGGGAGCAAAAGGGAUUAGAAACCCGGGUAGUCC